RNAcentral lists this long non-coding RNA (664 nucleotides) under Polistes fuscatus (common paper wasp). Its description in RNAcentral is "uncharacterized LOC122518976". Lineage: Eukaryota; Metazoa; Arthropoda; Insecta; Hymenoptera; Vespidae. The record is from RNAcentral.
CCCCGCUGCCUCCACUGAUACAACCCCAUUUAUAUUUCUCAGAAUUAAUUUGACCAACUUUAUCUAUACGAUCUGUGACAACUAGACUAACGAUAGAUUCACGAAGAAAAAAAAAAGGAACAAACAAUAAACUGACAAAUGAAGACAUUUUAAAAAAUGUUUCUGUCAUCAUCAUAUCAUAAGUACAAAAUUCAUCAAAAUAUGUAUAUCCAAAAUUUGACUAAAAGAUAGAAGACUGUAUGCAAAUCAAAAGUACCAUUACCGAUAUUCUUCCUAAUACAGAAUAAUUGUCCAGUGUUAUGCUUUGAGUUUAACUUCAAAUGAUACUUCAAACACAAGUCUUCAAAUGAAGCGUUGUCAUCGUACGCGAUUAGAAGUGCGCCGGAAAGUGAACGUAAUUUUCAGAUUUAACGUUCGCAAUAAUGGCACAAAGAAAAAUACGGAGCGCGUACUUAGUCGACGCUAAAACUUGAUGCUGUUUUAAUAUGGUAGCUUAAUGCACCAUACAUAAUAUACACAUCGAACAAUACAAAUCUCAUAUUUUGAAUAAACAGUAGUAAGUACGUAACACAACACACACACAUAUACACACACAAAUAAAGAGAGACACGUGCUUUUUAAUGUGUAUCCUCGUGAGAAUUAAAUAUUUAUUUUUAAAAGGUAA